AGAAGGGCUUCCGGAGCGAUUGUUUCGGGGGCCUUUUUCUUUUGC
RNAcentral lists this antisense RNA (45 nucleotides) under Methylocella tundrae. RNAcentral's name for it is "ctRNA_p42d". It matches the Rfam family "ctRNA". From Rfam's summary of the family: This family represents a group of ctRNAs (or counter-transcribed RNAs) from p42d and related plasmids. ctRNAs are small, highly structured, antisense sequences which are involved in negative regulation. Members of this family are known to bind to the mRNA of repC causing translational repression. This model contains the predicted stem-loop structure followed by a U-rich tract which is proposed to act as a Rho-independent transcriptional terminator. The record is from RNAcentral. Lineage: Bacteria; Pseudomonadati; Pseudomonadota; Alphaproteobacteria; Hyphomicrobiales; Beijerinckiaceae.